Molecule: ribosomal RNA, 860 nt
Filed under: uncultured bacterium
Lineage: Bacteria
Description: bacterial SSU rRNA
Rfam family: Bacterial small subunit ribosomal RNA
Source: RNAcentral
GUGCUUAACACAUGCAAGUCACGGGGGCCCGCAAGGGUAACCGGCGAACGGGUGCGUAACACGUGAGCAAGCUUCCGAUUUGUGGGGGAUAGCCGGCCCAACGGCCGGGUAAUACCGCAUACGUUCACCGAGCGGCAUCGCUUGGUGAGGAAACCUCCGGGGCAAAUCGAGGUGCUCGCGGCCUAUCAGCUAGUUGGUGAGGUAACGGCUCACCAAGGCGACGACGGGUAGCUGGUCUGAGAGGAUGGCCAGCCACAUUGGGACUGCGACACGGCCCAGACUCCUACGGGAGGCAGCAGUGGGGAAUAUUGCGCAAUGGACGAAAGUCUGACGCAGCGACGCCGCGUGUGGGAUGAAGCCUUUCGGGGCGUAAACCACUGUUGCCCGGGACGAACCUCCCCAUUCGUGGGGACUGACGGUACCGGGUGAGGAAGCACCGGCUAACUCUGUGCCAGCAGCCGCGGUAAUACAGAGGGUGCGAGCGUUGUCCGGAAUCACUGGGCGUAAAGGGCGCGUAGGUGGCUUGGUAAGCGUGUGGUGAAAGUCCGGGGCUCAACCCCGGAUCUGCCGUGCGAACUGCCGAGCUUGAGCGAUGUAGAGGCAGGUGGAAUUUCGGGUGUAGCGGUGGAAUGCGUAGAGAUCCGAAAGAACACCAGUGGCGAAGGCGGCCUGCUGGGCAUUUGCUGACACUGAGGCGCGACAGCGUGGGGAGCAAACAGGAUUAGAUACCCUGGUAGUCCACGCCGUAAACGAUGGGUACUAGGUGUCUGGGGGAGCGACCCCCUGGGUGCCGACGCUAACGCAUGAAGUAUCCCGCCUGGGAGUACGGCCGCAAGGCUGAAACUCAAAGGAAUUGACGG